Molecule: ribosomal RNA, 678 nt
Filed under: uncultured bacterium
Lineage: Bacteria
Description: bacterial SSU rRNA
Rfam family: Bacterial small subunit ribosomal RNA
Source: RNAcentral
CAUGCAAGUCGAGCGGUAAGGCCCUUCGGGGUACACGAGCGGCGAACGGGUGAGUAACACGUGGGUAACCUGCCCUGUACUCUGGGAUAAGCCUUGGAAACGAGGUCUAAUACCGGAUAUGACACUGGAUCGCAUGAUUUGGUGUGGAAAGUUCCGGCGGUACAGGAUGGACCCGCGGCCUAUCAGCUUGUUGGUGGGGUAAUGGCCUACCAAGGCGACGACGGGUAGCCGGCCUGAGAGGGUGACCGGCCACACUGGGACUGAGACACGGCCCAGACUCCUACGGGAGGCAGCAGUGGGGAAUAUUGCACAAUGGGCGAAAGCCUGAUGCAGCGACGCCGCGUGAGGGAUGACGGCCUUCGGGUUGUAAACCUCUUUCAGCAGGGACGAAGCGCAAGUGACGGUACCUGCAGAAGAAGCACCGGCUAACUACGUGCCAGCAGCCGCGGUAAUACGUAGGGUGCGAGCGUUGUCCGGAAUUAUUGGGCGUAAAGAGCUCGUAGGCGGUUUGUCGCGUCGGCCGUGAAAACUUGGGGCUUAACCCCAAGCUUGCGGUCGAUACGGGCAGACUUGAGUUCGGCAGGGGAGACUGGAAUUCCUGGUGUAGCGGUGAAAUGCGCAGAUAUCANGAGGAACACCGGUGGCGAANGCGGGUCUCUGGGCCGACACUGACGCUGA